AAGUGGGUGGGUUUUCUGGGUGUGCCGCCAAAGUUAUGUGAAAGAAAAGUGCUCCUGCUCCUCCUGCUCCCCCUCCUCCACUGCGAACUCCACACCCCAAAGUCCAGUGUUCUCUCUGCCGAAUUCAAAUGUCACACAAGGAUCGAAAGGCCUUUCUUUCGUUAUCACGAAUCGCCUUUAUAAGCGAAACACCUGAGCUCGCCCAACUUCGACGCCCCAAAGGACUACUCAAAAAGUCAUUACUUUAAUCGAAUUCGCAUUUCCCGAAAUGAACGUUGGCCGCAGGACUCAACUGCAACGCCUCCCGCGAGCCCCGUAAGGAUAACAACGAAUUUCUCAUAAACUUCUGAUGGCGAAGGGUGCGAGGGUCAGUGCAGAAUGUCCGCCAAACAUGCAAUUAAGUCGUUAAUACUUCAUCGAUUUAAUACACGCGGACAGGAGCAGGAUGGCCAGGAUAUCCAAGCGAUACAGGCGAUACAGGAUACCGCGGACGCAGCGAGGAUUAAAGCAUUAGCAAAUCGAGGAUGAGCUGUCCUUUCCAAAAAGGGAAAGGGAAAAACGGAAGCGGAAGUGGCGAUAGACGCAGGACGAUGGCAGACAUUUGAUUAGUUUGUUUGGCCUGCCAAUUUCCCUCGCUCGCUUUUAUUUCUUUUAGGAGAUAUGCAAUUACGAUAUACAAGUUAAACAAACCAAGGGAUAUUCGUCGAUGCCUAUGCGAUGCCCAGCGAUAUGAGUUCAACAUUUGAACAUUUGAUUAAAAACGCAAAUAGAUUUUGAAGCUCACCCCUUCCCCUUCCCCUUCUCCAUAAUCCUCUAUGUGCAUAAAAAAUUAACCAACAACGAUGCUCAGCGCUAAAAAGGAAAGAAUAAACUGAGGGAAACUGAAAAGCGCGGACAUUUUUUAGGCAAAUACGGAGGACCAGCAGCAAUUCAUCAGAGGAACGACGCUUUUUUGUAUCAUCCGUGGGCUCAACUCAUCUCCCACCUGUAAUAAAAAUCAUAACCGGGAGGCGUGGCACCAGACACCGACGCACAUAUUGAACUAACGACCAGGUGGGCGGCGGGUGGUUGCGAUACUAAAGGAAAAACAGUGGAGGGGGUGGAGUAAAAGGGGAGGCCAUCGCCCGCAUGUCUGUGUAAAAAGGUAAAAACCAAUCAAGAGCAUCAAUAAAAGGCACGUCAAUCAGCGUGUGGCAAGGCAAGGUAGGCUCCAGCCAUUUUCCUCCUGCUCGGAAAAACUGCUGCUCAACAAGCACGAAAAAAUCAUAUUUCCUGGUCCUCCUCCUGGUCCGGGUCCUGGUCCUCCUCCUGGUCCUGGCCAACAUGCCUCCUUGUGUGUGUUUUGGCCUUUUGUCUAGCAUUGGCAACGCGGUUUUAGUUCAGUCAAGCUGUCAUAUCGACGCUUUUGCAUGCCAGACGAUGCCAACCGAGCCUCAGCCUCAGACUCGAAAACUGGAAAACUCGGAAUCAAACUCAAACUCGAGCGUCAAAAUUCCGGACCCGGUUUCUGGCCAGACUCGCUGGCUAUCGGCCACAAAAUCCUGCUCCCUCCUUUGGAACCCUUCCUGCGGUUA
Long non-coding RNA from Drosophila santomea, 1574 nucleotides. RefSeq lists it as uncharacterized. The transcript is spliced from 3 exons. The record is from RefSeq and is a predicted model, not a curated record. Lineage: Eukaryota; Metazoa; Arthropoda; Insecta; Diptera; Drosophilidae.